GGGGACCCAGGAGAGAGGCCGGCGCAAGUUGGGUGACAGCUCUGGGGGUCCGGAGGCGGCCCAGGGCUCCAGGACCCGCUUCCGCUCCAGGGCCCCGCCCGGAUGACUCCUGAACAGGCCACGAGGGUGGGGAGGGACCCACAGCCUCCGCCCCGCGGGGAGGCGGCGGCCGGCAGGAGUGAGGUGGCCAAAAGGGACGCUUGUGGGGGGACGUGGCGGGGAGGGGGGUGGGUGCCCGAGGUGGGAGAGUGUGUGGGAUUGGCGCAGCGGGAUCCGCACCUCUGCCCCGCGGCUUUACAAAGCCCACACAGCAGCCCCGCAGCCAGGCCGACCGAAAGCCACCGCCUGAGCCUCCAGUGUUCCCAGGUAGCCUCUGCACACCGCGGGGCGGGAUCGCGCGGCAGGUUUUAUAACAAUCAAGAAGCACAUGAAAGAAGCCUCUUUCAUCAAGUAUUCUUAAGUUAUGAAAAUGGAAUUGAAGCUUCUGUUCCUCCUUCGUGUGGAGAGCUUUGUUAACGUCAGCGGACAUUUUACUUCCAAAUGAGGCUACCUUCUGAGCAGGGUCCUCAAAGAGCAAAUUACACCUGACAAGGCUGUUUGAUGAAGAUUAGGAGUAGAUUAAGCAGUCCUUGAGCUUGCCGUUUAAACCACCACUACUGAUUUUGUGUACUAAGUCAAUAAGGAUACUUGGAGG
RNAcentral lists this long non-coding RNA (694 nucleotides) under Rhinolophus ferrumequinum (greater horseshoe bat). RNAcentral's name for it is "lncRNA (ENSRFEG00010022096.1)". Lineage: Eukaryota; Metazoa; Chordata; Mammalia; Chiroptera; Rhinolophidae. The record is from RNAcentral.